UACGAAGGUCCCGAGCGUUGUUCGGAAUCACUGGGCGUAAAGGGAGCGUAGGCGGCGUGGUAAGUCAGAUGUGAAAUCCCGGGGCUCAACCCCGGAACUGCAUCCGAUACUGCCAUGCUAGAGUGAUGGAGAGGUAGCUGGAAUUCUUGGUGUAGCAGUGAAAUGCGUGGAGAUCAAGAGGAACACUCGUGGCGAAAGCGAGCUACUGGACAUUUACUGACGCUGAGGCUCGAAAGCGUGGGGAGCAAACAGG
Molecule: ribosomal RNA, 253 nt
Filed under: uncultured bacterium
Lineage: Bacteria
Description: partial 16S ribosomal RNA
Rfam family: Bacterial small subunit ribosomal RNA
Source: RNAcentral